GCAUAAUGAUGAUGAAAGUAAAUUCUUCUGAAUUUUUGUUGAUUGAAUUAUUACAACCUCCUACUCAUUCUGA
This 73-nucleotide small nucleolar RNA is filed under the name Olea europaea subsp. europaea. RNAcentral describes it as "Small nucleolar RNA Z105". It matches the Rfam family "Small nucleolar RNA Z105". Rfam says of the family: This family consists of several snoRNA Z105 sequences which are members of the C/D class of snoRNA which contain the C (UGAUGA) and D (CUGA) box motifs. This family seems to be found exclusively in plants. The record is from Rfam by way of RNAcentral. Lineage: Eukaryota; Viridiplantae; Streptophyta; Magnoliopsida; Lamiales; Oleaceae.